GGCCCAAACUCCUACGGGAGGCAGCAGUAGGGAAUCUUCCACAAUGGACGAAAGUCUGAUGGAGCAACGCCGCGUGAGUGAAGAAGGGUUUCGGCUCGUAAAACUCUGUUGUUGAAGAAGAACAUAUCUGAGAGUAACUGUUCAGGUAUUGACGGUAUUUAACCAGAAAGCCACGGCUAACUACGUGCCAGCAGCCGCGGUAAUACGUAGGUGGCAAGCGUUGUCCG
Molecule: ribosomal RNA, 227 nt
Filed under: Lactiplantibacillus plantarum
Lineage: Bacteria; Bacillati; Bacillota; Bacilli; Lactobacillales; Lactobacillaceae
Description: partial 16S ribosomal RNA
Rfam family: Bacterial small subunit ribosomal RNA
Source: RNAcentral